Molecule: ribosomal RNA, 465 nt
Filed under: Vreelandella stevensii
Lineage: Bacteria; Pseudomonadati; Pseudomonadota; Gammaproteobacteria; Oceanospirillales; Halomonadaceae
Description: partial 16S ribosomal RNA
Rfam family: Bacterial small subunit ribosomal RNA
Source: RNAcentral
CCUACGGGGGGCUGCAGUGGGGAAUAUUGGACAAUGGGGGCAACCCUGAUCCAGCCAUGCCGCGUGUGUGAAGAAGGCCCUCGGGUUGUAAAGCACUUUCAGUGAGGAAGAACGCCUGGUGGUUAAUACCCAUCAGGAAAGACAUCACUCACAGAAGAAGCACCGGCUAACUCCGUGCCAGCAGCCGCGGUAAUACGGAGGGUGCGAGCGUUAAUCGGAAUUACUGGGCGUAAAGCGCGCGUAGGUGGCUUGAUAAGCCGGUUGUGAAAGCCCCGGGCUCAACCUGGGAACGGCAUCCGGAACUGUCAAGCUAGAGUGCAGGAGAGGAAGGUAGAAUUCCCGGUGUAGCGGUGAAAUGCGUAGAGAUCGGGAGGGAUACCAGUGGCGAAGGCGGCCUUCUGGACUGACACUGACACUGAGGUGCGAAAGCGUGGGUAGCAAACAGGAUUAGAUACCCUAGUAGUC